CUUGCUAAUAUAAAUGCUUGUAUAAACCAUGAAAUUAAUUCUUAUCGGUCCUUCCAAUUUUGUUGCCCUCGUAAUCUGCAGAGAAAAGCUUCGAACUUGAUCCAUGUUCUAAUUUCCUUGCUGUGAGAGGACUAAAAAAAUAGGAUUUGCAGUUGGUUAAUUUUUUUUUGUAAGGUAGGAUUCACAUUUAUAGGAAAAUAGGAUUCACAUUUUUUUUUUCAGACAAUUAAUAAAGUAAAACAACUAGGGUUUUUCCCGCCCUUUUGGCGCAAGAUUCACAUUUUUGGCGCCAUUUUGGAAAUUAAGGCAGCAAAUUUAUACUAGUAUUAUAUUAUUUAAUUUAAUUAAUUAAUUUAAUUUAAUUUAAUACCUUCACCCUUUUUCGGUCCAGUCAACAAGUCAACUAUUAUUACUACUAUUACUCCCUCCGUCCCGCCCAAGA
RNAcentral lists this long non-coding RNA (442 nucleotides) under Salvia miltiorrhiza (redroot sage). Its description in RNAcentral is "long non-coding RNA (SMIL_LNC000984)". Lineage: Eukaryota; Viridiplantae; Streptophyta; Magnoliopsida; Lamiales; Lamiaceae. The record is from RNAcentral.